RNAcentral lists this ribosomal RNA (764 nucleotides) under uncultured Streptococcus sp. RNAcentral describes it as "bacterial SSU rRNA". It matches the Rfam family "Bacterial small subunit ribosomal RNA", at positions 28 to 776 of the family's 1533-position model. The record is from RNAcentral. Lineage: Bacteria; Bacillati; Bacillota; Bacilli; Lactobacillales; Streptococcaceae.
GACGAACGCUGGCGGCGUGCCUAAUACAUGCAAGUAGAACGCUGAAGAGAGGAGCUUGCUCUUCUGGGUGAGUUGCGAACGGGUGAGUAACGCGUAGGUAACCUGCCUGGUAGCGGGGGAUAACUAUUGGAAACGAUAGCUAAUACCGCAUAAAAUUGAUUAUUGCAUGAUAAUUAAUUGAAAGAUGCAAUUGCAUCACUACCAGAUGGACCUGCGUUGUAUUAGCUAGUUGGUGAGGUAACGGCUCACCAAGGCGACGAUACAUAGCCGACCUGAGAGGGUGAUCGGCCACACUGGGACUGAGACACGGCCCAGACUCCUACGGGAGGCAGCAGUAGGGAAUCUUCGGCAAUGGGGGGAACCCUGACCGAGCAACGCCGCGUGAGUGAAGAAGGUUUUCGGAUCGUAAAGCUCUGUUGUAAGAGAAGAACGGGUGUGAGAGUGGAAAGUUCACACUGUGACGGUAUCUUACCAGAAAGGGACGGCUAACUACGUGCCAGCAGCCGCGGUAAUACGUAGGUCCCGAGCGUUGUCCGGAUUUAUUGGGCGUAAAGCGAGCGCAGGCGGUUAGAUAAGUCUGAAGUUAAAGGCUGUGGCUUAACCAUAGUAUGCUUUGGAAACUGUUUAACUUGAGUGCAGAAGGGGAGAGUGGAAUUCCAUGUGUAGCGGUGAAAUGCGUAGAUAUAUGGAGGAACACCGGUGGCGAAAGCGGCUCUCUGGUCUGUAACUGACGCUGAGGCUCGAAAGCGUGGGGAGCAAACAGG